UGAGCGCGCGUUUAAGAUCCAUUAGAUCUGCCAGGUCAAUUAAUGAACUGGAUCCAACGCCUCUCCUUUUUCCUGAUUUUCUGAAUUUCCAUUUAAUUUCUUUUAUUUCCAUUAUUUUCAAAAAUUCAUAUCUCCUUCAUUUUAAUUCCAAAAAAUAUGGGACCAAUUGCAUUCUUCUCCAAAUAAUUUCUAGUUUCUAAUUUUGAUUUUUAAUAUUUUUUAUUUUGUCAUUUGAUAUUUUUUAUGAAUUUUCUCUUUUCUGGUUA
RNAcentral lists this long non-coding RNA (266 nucleotides) under Lathyrus oleraceus (garden pea). Its description in RNAcentral is "Pisum sativum (pea) long non-coding RNA (PSAT_LNC006585)". Lineage: Eukaryota; Viridiplantae; Streptophyta; Magnoliopsida; Fabales; Fabaceae. The record is from RNAcentral.